This 394-nucleotide long non-coding RNA is filed under the name Gossypium barbadense (sea-island cotton). RNAcentral's name for it is "long non-coding RNA (GBAR_LNC021957)". The record is from RNAcentral. Lineage: Eukaryota; Viridiplantae; Streptophyta; Magnoliopsida; Malvales; Malvaceae.
AAAAAUGAAUAAAAUCUUUAAAGAGGUGCAGAAGGGGGGCAUGGAUCAGUGGGCGGUGGUAUGUGAGGGAACAUCGGCCUGCGUCCGGUACGACUCUUCCUUCAUCAAUAGGCAAAGGAGCUGGGCGUAUAGUGACAUUGUCCAACCUCUACAGUAUGCCCAUUCCUGCUAUGGUCAACAACAUAUGCUGCUCAAUAUACUAGUUUAAUGCACAUGCAAUCUCAUUCUCGUGUGGUCACCCUUUAAUUUCAUUGGCUUUUGUUUAAUUGUUUCCUAAAAUGCUAAUUCACCUUACAUUGUUUCAUUAUAAUGGUUAACAUAUCAAGGCCAACGGCAAAAACUUGUGGAAACCCACACCUAACUUCCAAGUUAUUUGUUAUGGCCGGAAAGCUUC